RNAcentral lists this long non-coding RNA (1417 nucleotides) under Macaca mulatta (Rhesus monkey). RNAcentral's name for it is "lncRNA (ENSMMUG00000058822.1)". The record is from RNAcentral. Lineage: Eukaryota; Metazoa; Chordata; Mammalia; Primates; Cercopithecidae.
CCCGCCCCGUCCUGCUCGGGCCGCCCCGCGGGUGAGCUGGGUGCGCGCUGGGGUCUGGCUCGCUUGCCCAUCCCCGAGCAGACAGCUGCACGGGUGGCCUCGGGGUCCAUGGCCUCCGGCUGGGCCGGGAGAAGCCGUUUCGCAGAGCACGCCCGGGACGGUUGGGGCUGGACUGGGGGACGAGCUGGAGGCCACAGAAGACACCUUGGACACCUGGGUGGCCCCCAGGAAGCUCCUGAACCCCAUCCUGAUUGGCGAGGCAGUGACCCUGGCCCGCCUGGGGCCUCAGACUCCUCCCUGGAUAAUGGUGUGGCCGCCCUGGGCCUUCCACACACCGCUGGCGCAGCGGCCACCCUGGAAUGGCUGUGACCCACACCGCGUCCUGUCCCCCAGGACCCACGCCAGGCAGCAUGAAUAGGGUGGGCCGGGUGAGAAGCCCCUUCUGCUGUGUCUGGCCUCGCCCACCUCAGUGGCCUGAGGCCCCUUCCUCAGAGUGGCCAGUGGGGAGGGGGGGCGCCCAUCACUUCUGUGCAGCCUGGCCCCUCCAGCCAUCGCCAAGCACACCCAAAGCAGCCUAGAUGAGCCAAGGUACCGGGACGCCAUGGGGGACGGCAGAGCAGAGACUCGGACCAUCUGGCUUCUUCCGACCCCCCAGCCGCACCCCCUCGCUCGCUUCCACCUGGAAUGACAGCUCAAGGAGCCCUCCCGGCCACUACACUGGGCCCAUUAUUUUUUAAAUCCUGCUAAAACCCAUCUGAAAAGCCUCAAAGACCGUGACUUUCAAAACAUCAAAACAUGGAAAUGGACCCCCGGCAAUGUGAAGAGGGCAAGAGCCACCUUCCUGGUGUCUUUGUUUUGAGACAGAGUCUCGCUCUGUCACCCAGGCUGGAGUGCAAUGGUGUGAUCUCGGCUCACUGCAACCUCUACCUCCCAGGUUCAAGCAAUUCUCUGUUUCAGUCUCCUGAGUAGCUGAGAUUACAGGCACCUGCCACCACACCUGCCUAUUCUUUUGUAUUUUUACUAGAGACGGGGUUUCACCAUCUUGGCCAGGUUGGUCUUGAACUUCUGACCUCAUGAUCCUCCCACUUUGACCUCGCAAAGUGCUGGGAUGACAGGCACGAGCCACCAUGCCCGGCCGGUUCUGCUUUCUAGAAAAAACUUCGCAGUGUGCACUCCAGAGACGUAACCCGUUCCCACACCUGAGUGGGCAACUCCAGCCUUCGAACACAGCCCUAGGAAAUGACUGCAAAUGAGGGGGAAGCUUUUUAAAUAGACGGAAAAAGGCGUUUGCACCAAGCUACAUCGCAGUGAAAUUAUCACUGGAAAACAGUGGAAAGAGGCCAGGUGUCCCCCCCGCGGGUCAGGUGCAGUCCCGGGGGAACUAGGCCCUGAGAGCGGAGUGGCCGACGGGAGACAC